GUUACGAUCUGAUGCAAGGUUAAGCAGGAAAUGUGGAGCCGUAGCGAAAGCGAGUCUGAAUAGGGCGUUGAGUAUUUGGUCGUAGACCCGAAACCAGGUGAUCUACCCAUGGUCAGGUUGAAGUUCAGGUAACACUGAAUGGAGGACCGAACCGACUUACGUUGAAAAGUGAGCGGAUGAACUGUGGGUAGCGGAGAAAUUCCAAUCGAACUUGGAGAUAGCUGGUUCUCUCCGAAAUAGCUUUAGGGCUAGCCUCAAGUGAUGAUUAUUGGAGGUAGAGCACUGUUUGGACGAGGGGCCCCUCUCGGGUUACCGAAUUCAGACAAACUCCGAAUGCCAAUUAAUUUAACUUGGGAGUCAGAACAUGGGUGAUAAGGUCCGUGUUCGAAAGGGAAACAGCCCAGACCACCAGCUAAGGUCCCAAAAUAUAUGUUAAGUGGAAAAGGAUGUGGCGUUGCCCAGACAACUAGGAUGUUGGCUUAGAAGCAGCCAUCAUUUAAAGAGUGCGUAAUAGCUCACUAGUCGAGUGACACUGCGCCGAAAAUGUACCGGGGCUAAACAUAUUACCGAAGCUGUGGAUUGUCCGUAGGACAAUGGUAGGAGAGCGUUCUAAGGGCGUUGAAGCAUGAUCGCAAGGACAUGUGGAGCGCUUAGAAGUGAGAAUGCCGGUGUGAGUAGCGAAAGACGGGUGAGAAUCCCGUCCACCGAUUGACUAAGGUUUCCAGAGGAAGGCUCGUCCGCUCUGGGUUAGUCGGGUCCUAAGCUGAGGCCGACAGGCGUAGGCGAUGGAUAACAGGUUGAUAUUCCUGUACCACCUAGCAUCGUUUUAAUCGAUGGGGGGACGCAGUAGGAUAGGCGAAGCGUACGAUUGGAUUGUACGUCUAAGCAGUGAGAUUGAGUGUUAGGCAAAUCCGGCACUCUUAAGAUUGAGCUGUGAUGGGGAGAGGAAAUUGUUUCCUCGAGUCGUUGAUUUCACACUGCCGAGAAAAGCCUCUAGAUAGAUAAUAGGUGCCCGUACCGCAAACCGACACAGGUAGUCAAGAUGAGAAUUCUAAGGUGAGCGAGCGAACUCUCGUUAAGGAACUCGGCAAAAUGACCCCGUAACUUCGGGAGAAGGGGUGCUCUUUAGGGUGCAAGCCCAGAAGAGCCGCAGUGAAUAGGCCCAAGCGACUGUUUAUCAAAAACACAGGUCUCUGCUAAACCGUAAGGUGAUGUAUAGGGGCUGACGCCUGCCCGGUGCUGGAAGGUUAAGAGGAGUGGUUAGCUUCUGCGAAGCUACGAAUCGAAGCCCCAGUAAACGGCGGCCGUAACUAUAACGGUCCUAAGGUAGCGAAAUUCCUUGUCGGGUAAGUUCCGACCCGCACGAAAGGCGUAACGAUUUGGGCACUGUCUCAACGAGAGACUCGGUGAAAUCAUAGUACCUGUGAAGAUGCAGGUUACCCGCGACAGGACGGAAAGACCCCGUGGAGCUUUACUGUAGCCUGAUAUUGAAAUUCGGCACAGCUUGUACAGGAUAGGUAGGAGCCUUUGAAACGUGAGCGCUAGCUUACGUGGAGGCGCUGGUGGGAUACUACCCUAGCUGUGUUGGCUUUCUAACCCGCACCACUUAUCGUGGUGGGAGACAGUGUCAGGCGGGCAGUUUGACUGGGGCGGUCGCCUCCUAAAAGGUAACGGAGGCGCUCAAAGGUUCCCUCAGAAUGGUUGGAAAUCAUUCAUAGAGUGUAAAGGCAUAAGGGAGCUUGACUGCGAGACCUACAAGUCGAGCAGGGUCGAAAGACGGACUUAGUGAUCCGGUGGUUCCGCAUGGAAGGGCCAUCGCUCAACGGAUAAAAGCUACCCCGGGGAUAACAGGCUUAUCUCCCCCAAGAGUUCACAUCGACGGGGAGGUUUGGCACCUCGAUGUCGGCUCAUCGCAUCCUGGGGCUGUAGUCGGUCCCAAGGGUUGGGCUGUUCGCCCAUUAAAGCGGUACGCGAGCUGGGUUCAGAACGUCGUGAGACAGUUCGGUCCCUAUCCGUCGUGGGCGUAGGAAAUUUGAGAGGAGCUGUCCUUAGUACGAGAGGACCGGGAUGGACAUACCUCUGGUGUACCAGUUGUCGUGCCAACGGCAUAGCUGGGUAGCUAUGUAUGGACGGGAUAAGUGCUGAAAGCAUCUAAGCAUGAAGCCCCCCUCAAGAUGAGAUUUCCCAACUUCGGUUAUAAGAUCCCUCAAAGAUGAUGAGGUUAAUAGGUUCGAGGUGGAAGCGUGGUGACACGUGGAGCUGACGAAUACUAAUCGAUCGAAGACUUAAUCAAUUU
This 2296-nucleotide ribosomal RNA is filed under the name Staphylococcus haemolyticus. Its description in RNAcentral is "bacterial LSU rRNA". It matches the Rfam family "Bacterial large subunit ribosomal RNA", at positions 627 to 2925 of the family's 2925-position model. The record is from RNAcentral. Lineage: Bacteria; Bacillati; Bacillota; Bacilli; Caryophanales; Staphylococcaceae.